Molecule: non-coding RNA, 3343 nt
Organism: Delphinapterus leucas (beluga whale)
Lineage: Eukaryota; Metazoa; Chordata; Mammalia; Artiodactyla; Monodontidae
Source: RefSeq, a predicted model, not a curated record
UUUCGCUUUUCACCUGAGUGUGCUUUACUGGAAGUUGCAAAAGGUUUGUGAUUCAUCAAUACCAUCUCUAUGGUGCAAUAUUUGCUUGGUUCUAAAUGUCCAAGUAGACAAAUUCAAGCCUGUUAUAUUAUUUCAGAGUUUUAAUGUGUUACACUUGUGGAUCGUUUUUGGACUAUGACUAUUCAAGGAUUCUGGGAAGUGUGAAUCCAUGCGAUCCAGAUAUUUGUUUUCCUGUGGAUGUAAAAAUCAAUAAAAUUAGGAGCUUCCUGGUAUCCUAUUUACUUUUUAGGAAUAGUACCCAUGAAAUACAGUUUUCAUUUUUGACUACUGUCCUCUUAUACAAAGACUACUGAGAAAGAUGACUUUCUGUCCUGCUACACCAGGGAUACAUGAAAGCUACACAGACUAACUUCACUGAAUCUACCCAAACCCUAAUCUACUUUGGCACAAGGUUUUUAAGAAACCCAACCCUGGUUAGACUUUUCAGGAUCAAAUAAAUGUAUAAGGGAAGUGCCAUGGCUUAUGUCAUUAUGUUAGUCCCCAGCAUAGGCGCCAUUCUUGGGAAAGGAUGUAGGAGUGUUCUAGGCUAUGCAAAACAGAGCUAUGGAAGCAGAUAUGAUUAAGAGUAAAACACAAGUAGUCAUUGAAAAGUUGUGUAAGGGACUGUGUCAUAGAAUGAAAACAUGAGGUUGGGCAGUGGUUGCCUAAUGACCUGGAAGAAAGGGAAUCAAAACAGUCGUACUACUAAAUGGCAAAAUGAGAACUGAAACUACAUUGUCAUAGAAAAGAAUUUAUUUUUCAUUUCAAUAAGAAGAAUAUCAGCCCUAUGCUUUUGUAUCUCCAGCAAAUCAAAUAACUGGUAGAAGGUAUUAAGGGCUGCUGGAAGGACUAGAAAUAGUAAGAAUCCAUAUGCCCUUUUCCCUAGUGCUCUGGAGAGAUCCACAAAAUUUUCCGGAGGUGCUCUGCACUGUGUUUUCAGUCUACGGCCCUAUACAUGGGGAUGCAUACUGGCUGCUACACAAACUGUUGCCUCCAGUUGACUAAUGGAACAGGCACAAUGAAGGUAAAAUAGUAACCCCCAUAUUAGGGAGUUCCAAGUCCUCAGGAAUCCAACUGUACACUUCCUCCAACAACUCAGGCUAUUCUAUUCUUUGUACCUUGGAAACCUAACAUGAGAGACUAAUGACAAGAUUCCUCGAAACCUUUCUGCAGAAGGUAAACUGAGAGAAGCUAAAUGCUGUACUCAGAAGCUGAGUCCUUCAUUGUUUUUCAACACAGUUCACUGAGGCAUUUUAUAAGUUUAUAUAUAUAAAUCCAUGUGAAGAUCAGAAUAGACUUAUGGCACUUUUGUUGCCAGGAAUUUAAAUACAAGUAGGAGAAAAAGUAGGUUGAUGAUAAGAACAGAUAAUUUCUCAGAUAUUGGUGGCUACAAUCCAGUUUUGAGAAAAUAUGUAGAAAGAUUAGCCGUAAAGAAACUUAAGACUGCAGCUUAGCUGCCUAGUUAUAAUUAUUUACAAGGGAACACAAUAUUAUCUGGAGACCCCAACAAAUAAGAAGGCACACCCUGAUGGAAAGUCAAUAAUUCACUAUUGAAAAGUCAAGACAUUGGCAAAAAUAAUGCUGGAACAGACUGAGGAAAUGCAAGGGAUACAACCUAACUCUGAAGCUUUACCACCUCCUCAAGAGGUUCUUUCCCACUCCAGGAAAUCAGACAGAAAGUAAUUGGCAAAUGGUGCAAACUUAUGGACAAAAUUGACAUAAUGAGAGAACCUUAGAAAUGGGAAUGGAAUGAACUUACAUUUCUGUUUCUUUUCCCCAUUUUAAACUUUUCCAGUCCUUUCUUGUGGAUACUGAAGCCAUGAAUUCUGCAAUUUCUACUACCUUUCUUGUUUUACUCUAACUCAGAAAAAUAUCCAAGAUAUGGGUGUUUCUGGAUGACCUAUCUGUUCUUUCUCCUCUGAAGUUCCCAUGCAAACAGGCAAGUGGCCAAGCCGAAUGUCCCAUUGACCGCCCCAUGCUUGCAUGGGCCAGAAUCGAGCCCAAAGGAACGUCUCUGUUCCCCAGCACACGUCCAGAGAGUUUUGGUGGCCAAGAAGCCAUGGCAACAGGCCUUCUGAUGGGAGCAGACAACGUCCCCAGGAGAAGGAAGAUAUGAGUUUGGACUGCUGCCUAUGGUGAAAUCAAUGUCAGCCUUGGUCCAACACCUGGAAGAGAUAGAAAGUCACGUCUUUUUGAGCAUCCUCAUUUCCAGAAAGCAUCUGAGCCAGAUAACAUCCCCAGGGGAAGAAAGAUCUGAGUUAGGCCUGCUGCGUAUGGAGCAAGGGUUGUCUGCAUUGGUCCAGCACCUGGAAGAGACAGAAACUCACAUCAUUUGGGACAUCCUCAUUUUCAGAAAGCUUCGGAGUUAGAUGUUCUGGCAAGGGCCUCACCACGGCCUGAAUGAUUCGAGUCUCAAAAGGACCAUUGGUAGGGAAGAACUGAGCCCCAGGACAGGAGAAAUUGAGAGGCAGGCAAGUGACUAAGUCCAAUGUCCUAUCGGCCACCCCAUGCUUGCACAGACCACCAUCGAGCCUGGAGGAACAUGUCCAUUCUGCAAGACAUGUCUGUAGAGUUUUGCUGGCCAAGAAGCCCUCACCCCAGGACUUCUGAUGAAAGGAGAGGCAAUGAUGCUCUGCCUUCACCUGGGAGUCUUCAGGGAUUCAUCUGUUCUUCCUUCCCGGAAACAUUAGUUUAGUACCUAUUCAUGCACAGAUCCAACUGUCCACUGGUUCCUUUAUGUUUCUAAGUCUGGAUGGAAGGAAGGAGAGAGAAAAGUAAGAAUUGGAAGCCAGAUAACAUCCCCAGGGGAAGAAAGAUCUGAGUUUGAGCUGCUGCCUAUGGAGCAACUGAUGUCAGACUUGUUCCAGCACCUGGAAGAGACAGAAAGUCACGUCCUUUUGGGCAUCCACAUCUCCAGAGAGCAUCUGAGGUAAGCCUACUCAGGUGCCAUAGCACCGAUACGUAGGGAAUGCCUCAGCUGGGUCAAUGAUGAGAACUCAUAUGGUCAUGAAGAGAGAUGAGGACCAAAAAUCAUGCUCAAUAGGAUUACGCUGAGGCCCAAAGGAGGUGGCCAUCCAGGGGCCAGAGUUUAGGGGAAUAUCUUGUCUCUUCCAGAGCCCAGGGGUGUGGGUGUGGAGACCCCCUAUCCCUCGAGGAAUGCCCUUGAGACUCUACUGUGUCUAGGAGCUUCCAAGUGGCAAAGACAUUGUCCUGUCUUCACCUUGCUUUCUUAAUCCCUGUAUCCAAUGCCCGCCUGGAGGCCAUAGGCGGGACCUUUCCUUAGCUCUUUCCCUGCAAAUUGUGA